Long non-coding RNA from Cucumis melo (muskmelon), 276 nucleotides. RefSeq lists it as uncharacterized. The record is from RefSeq and is a predicted model, not a curated record. The transcript is spliced from 2 exons. Lineage: Eukaryota; Viridiplantae; Streptophyta; Magnoliopsida; Cucurbitales; Cucurbitaceae.
UAACACUCAUCUCGUUGUUGUUUGUUGUAGGCAUUUGUGGAGAUUCAUGUUUUCACAACAAGAUUUUUUGAAACAAUAUUUCAACUUUAGAAGUUUGGCCAAAAUCUCUAUGAAAUGCAAUGGUAGGAAAGGGGAAGACCUUUAAUAACACUAGAGUGAAGCAUAGAGUGAAGCGGUCGAUUAAGGUGCCCGCGAUUAGUAACAAGCUAGCAGAUAUGAUGAUUAUUCAUGGAGGAAAUAUGGCCAAAAGCCAAUGAAGGGUUCUCCACACCCAAG